CGAGUCGGCCGGGUGAUCGCAGCGAAAGCUGAGGAAAGUCCGGACUCCACAGAGCACGGUGGUGGGUAACACCCACCCAGGGCGACCUGCGGGACAGUGCCACAGAGAACAGACCGCCUCGCAAGAGGUAAGGGUGAAACGGCGGCGUAAGAGACCACCGCGUCCCAGGUGACUGGGAUGGCAGGGCAAACCCCACCGGGAGCAAGGGCAAGAAGGGGCUCCGGCCCCGCGGAUGACGUUUGAGCGUUGCUCGCGCGAGUUGUCUGGGUAGCUCGCACGUCCCUUAUGGGGCGAAGGCAGUUGGUGACAACUGUCGCAGAUGGAUGAUCAUCGGCCAAAAGAGGUUGGCCACAGAAUCCGGCUUAUAGGCCGGCUCGUCCC
RNAcentral lists this RNase P RNA (381 nucleotides) under Propionibacteriaceae bacterium. Its description in RNAcentral is "RNase P RNA component class A". It matches the Rfam family "Bacterial RNase P class A". From Rfam's summary of the family: Ribonuclease P (RNase P) is a ubiquitous endoribonuclease, found in archaea, bacteria and eukarya as well as chloroplasts and mitochondria. Its best characterised activity is the generation of mature 5'-ends of tRNAs by cleaving the 5'-leader elements of precursor-tRNAs. Cellular RNase Ps are ribonucleoproteins. Lineage: Bacteria; Bacillati; Actinomycetota; Actinomycetes; Propionibacteriales; Propionibacteriaceae. The record is from RNAcentral.